This 301-nucleotide ribosomal RNA is filed under the name uncultured bacterium. RNAcentral describes it as "partial 16S ribosomal RNA". It matches the Rfam family "Bacterial small subunit ribosomal RNA", at positions 509 to 807 of the family's 1533-position model. The record is from RNAcentral.
CAGUCGCCACGGUAAUACGAAGGGUGCAAGCGUCAAUCGGAAUUACUGGGCGUAAAGCGUGUGUAGGUGGUUGUUUAAGUCUGUCGUGAAAGCCCUGGGCUCAACCUGGGAAUUGCGAUGGAUACUGGGCGACUAGAGUGCGGUAGAGGAUAGUGGAAUUUCCGGUGUAGCAGUGAAAUGCGUAGAGAUCGGAAGGAACAUCUGUGGCGAAGGCGACUAUCUGGGCCAACACUGACUCUGAGACACGAAAGCGUGGGGAGCAAACAGGAUUAGAUACCCCAGUAGUCCCUGUCUCUUAUAC